RNAcentral lists this ribosomal RNA (137 nucleotides) under uncultured Burkholderia sp. RNAcentral describes it as "partial 16S ribosomal RNA". It matches the Rfam family "Bacterial small subunit ribosomal RNA", at positions 396 to 525 of the family's 1533-position model. Lineage: Bacteria; Pseudomonadati; Pseudomonadota; Betaproteobacteria; Burkholderiales; Burkholderiaceae. The record is from RNAcentral.
GCCGCGUGUAGUGUGAAGGCCUUCNGGUUGUAAAGCUCUUUUGUUCGGGAAGAAAUCCUUCUGGCUAAUAUCCNGAAGGGAUGACNGUACCGGAAGAAUAAGCCCCGGCUAACUACGUGCCAGCCGCCGCGGUAAUA